This 178-nucleotide ribosomal RNA is filed under the name uncultured Aquabacterium sp. Its description in RNAcentral is "partial 16S ribosomal RNA". It matches the Rfam family "Bacterial small subunit ribosomal RNA", at positions 1207 to 1382 of the family's 1533-position model. The record is from RNAcentral. Lineage: Bacteria; Pseudomonadati; Pseudomonadota; Betaproteobacteria; Burkholderiales; Sphaerotilaceae.
GGUAGGGCUACACACGUCAUACAAUGGCCGGUACAGAGGGCUGCCAACCCGCGAGGGGGAGCCCAAUACCCAGAAAACCGGUCGUAGUCCGGAUCGUAGUCUGCAACUCGACUGCGUGAAGUCGGAAUCGCUAGUAAUCGCGGAUCAGCUUGCCGCGGUGAAUACGUUCCCGGGCCUU